CCUACGGGUGGCAGCAGUGGGGAAUAUUGGGCAAUGGGCGCAAGCCUGACCCAGCAACGCCGCGUGAGGGAAGAAGGCUUUCGGGUUGUAAACUUCUUUUCUCAGGGACGCAGAAAGUGACGGUACCUGAGGAAUAAGCCACGGCUAACUAGGUGCCAGCAGCCGCGGUAAUACGUAGGUGGCAAGCGUUAUCCGGAUUUACUGGGUGUAAAGGGCGUGUAGGCGGGACUGCAAGUCAGAUGUGAAAACCACGGGCUCAACCUGUGGCCUGCAUUGGAUACUGUAGUGCUUGAGUACUGGGGAGGCAGAAGGAAUUCCUGGUGUAGCGGUGAAAUGCGUAGAUAUUAGGAGGAACACCAGUGGCGAAGGCAGUCUGCUGGACAGCAACUGAUGCUGAGGCGCGAAAGCGUGGGGAGCAAACAGGAUUAGAUACCCCUGUAGUC
This 443-nucleotide ribosomal RNA is filed under the name uncultured bacterium. Its description in RNAcentral is "partial 16S ribosomal RNA". It matches the Rfam family "Bacterial small subunit ribosomal RNA", at positions 338 to 795 of the family's 1533-position model. The record is from RNAcentral.